This 1352-nucleotide unclassified non-coding RNA is filed under the name Hevea brasiliensis (rubber tree). Lineage: Eukaryota; Viridiplantae; Streptophyta; Magnoliopsida; Malpighiales; Euphorbiaceae. The record is from RNAcentral.
CUUUCCCUUUUUCACCCUCCAUUAUUUCUCUUAUGCAGAACUCAAUCUCAUCUCUUGGCACAAUCCCUUUUUCCUCAUCAACCUUAACUCUAAUUCCCACCUUCCAAACAUCCUCGACAAGUUUGGCAUUCACCGGUUGGUCGCUCCAUAAUGGCAUUGCCACCAUAGGCACACCCAAGCUCAUUGCCUCAAUUGUUGAGUUCCAACCACAAUGGGUCAGAAAGCAUCCCACAGCUUUGUUGGUUAGCACUUUUACUUGACAACUCCAGUUCACUAUAAGGCCCUUAUCACCCAAAUUUUCCUUGAAUGUUUUGGGUAGUUUUGCUUCCUCAGUAGCCCUAAUUACCCACAAGAAAUAGAAAUUGCUUCUCUUUAAACCCCACAAAAGUUCCUCCAUUUGGUUGUCACUUAAACCACAGAAACUGCCAAAGGACAGAUAAACCACUGACCUUUCUGGCUUUCUGCUGAGCCAAUUGCUUGAAACAGAGGCAUCUAAUGGAAAGAGGUCAACACCAUAAUUAUCAUCAUCUUCAAUCCGCUUGUCCAAGUAAAUUGACGGAACUGUCGGUCCAAUUGUGAGCACAGGACAAACUUUAGACAUUGUAUCCACCGCCUCAGGCUCUAGCUUGUAGAAAGUGUUUAUGAGUACAAAAUCAGCUUUAUCUGCGUUAGAGAACUGACUUAGGAGCAUCUCAGCGUUGGCAGGAUAUGAAUCUGGCAAACGCACGAACGAUGGCAAGUCUCGCAACUCAAGCAAAGGCAAUCCUGGAAUCGACACUGGGGUUGAAGAAAUUGGCAGUGAAAGCAACUUAUGCUGAAUAUUGUAGUAAAUAUAAUCAACCGCACAUGGCUGAGUGAAAAAGGCAGCUCCCAGCAACCCAAAUUCCUUGGCAACAUCUAAGGCCCAAGGCAAGAAAGGUUCAUAUAUCACACAGUCAAUAGGGUUCGGGGUCUUCUCAUACUUCAUGAUGAGGUUCGGCAGGGUUCUUGAACCGGCGGCCUUCAGCCGCUCAAGAUAGGUGUCGAAACUGUUAGAUUUUGGAAAGCCACCAUCAUCAUAGCCGUCGGAAAUUACAUCGAGCUGCACAGGGCCGACGGAGGAGCCAAGCUUCAUGGAUUUGGCAAUGAAAAUGGAAACAACAAGGGUGGCUUCAAGCCCUUUGGAAACCAAGCGCCUAGCGAAUUGCAUCAUGGGAUUUACAUGGCCUUGGCCAGGGAAAGGAACUAGUAGGACAUGAAAUUUAGAGGCUGUUUGUGUUUCCAUGCCUAUUAAAACUCUCUGUUUCUUUCUGUUUCUAUGAAUGAAGACUUGAGCUCACUGCAGCUCCAUCUGAAUUGGAGAAAUAAAUAAG